AGACAUCAGAUCUUGUUUUCCUAUGGAAAUGUAUCUAUUGAUUUUAUAUAUAUAUAUAUCUAUAUAUAUUAUUUUUGCAAAUCUUACAGAGUACGGCCAGCUUAGCUGGUCAGAAAAGAGAAUACCCGGAGGACUGACUCCCCCGUCCCCCCCCCCCCCGCCUUGUGGUUCGGGUCUGCCCUUGAUGGGGACAGAAACCCGGCGGGUCUUGGUUGAGAAGGGGAGAGAGGGGGGCGGGCUUUUAAAAAAUAGUGGCGUGGAAGGAAAAGCCGUUUCUCCCUCUGCCUCGGUCCCUUUCCUUCCUCCCUCCCUCCGCCCUCCCCCGCCCGUCCCUGCUUUCCUGCUGCUGUUUUCUGAACCUCCCCCUCCACAGGGUUCAGCCUGUUAGAGAAUCUUGGACUUUGUGACCUGGAAGCCUCCUGUG
Molecule: long non-coding RNA, 424 nt
Organism: Perognathus longimembris pacificus (Pacific pocket mouse)
Lineage: Eukaryota; Metazoa; Chordata; Mammalia; Rodentia; Heteromyidae
Exons: 3
Source: RefSeq, a predicted model, not a curated record